GCGCAGCAGGCGAGAAACUUCACAAUGUGCGAAAGCACGAUGAGGGAAUCCCAAGUGCUUGCACGUAAGUGUAAGCUGUUUCUCUGUCUAAAACGCAGAGAGAGUAAGGGCCGGGUAAGACGGGUGCCAGCCGCCGCGGUAAUACCUGCAGCUCGAGUGGUGACCGUUAUUAUUGGGCCUAAAACGUCCGUAGCCGGUUUAAUAAAGUGGCCUGGGUAAAUCGGACCGCUUAACGGUUCGAAUUCCGGGUAGACUGUUAAACUUGAGACCCGGGAGAAGUUAGAGGUACUCCUGGGGUAGAGGUGAAAUUCUGUAAUCCUAGGGGGACCACCAGUGGCGAAGGCGUCUAACUAGAACGGGUCUGACGGUGAGGGGACGAAG
This 381-nucleotide ribosomal RNA is filed under the name uncultured microorganism. RNAcentral's name for it is "bacterial SSU rRNA". It matches the Rfam family "Archaeal small subunit ribosomal RNA", at positions 330 to 709 of the family's 1478-position model. The record is from RNAcentral.